RNAcentral lists this ribosomal RNA (305 nucleotides) under uncultured bacterium. RNAcentral describes it as "bacterial SSU rRNA". It matches the Rfam family "Bacterial small subunit ribosomal RNA", at positions 333 to 655 of the family's 1533-position model. The record is from RNAcentral.
GAUCUCCUACGGGACGCAGCAGUGGGGGAUAUUGCACAAUGGGGGGAACCCUGAUGCAGCGACGCCGCGUGGGUGAAGAAGCGCCUCGGCGCGUAAAGCCCUGUCAGCAGGGAAGAAAAUGACGGUACCUGAAGAAGAAGCCCCGGCUAACUACGUGCCAGCAGCCGCGGUAAUACGUAGGGGGCAAGCGUUAUCCGGAUUUACUGGGUGUAAAGGGGGCGCAGACGGCGAUGCAAGCCAGGAGUGAAAGCCCGCGGCCCAACCCCGGGACUGCUCUUGGAACUCCGUGGCUGGAGUGCCGGAGG